RNAcentral lists this small RNA (514 nucleotides) under human gut metagenome. RNAcentral's name for it is "ROOL RNA". It matches the Rfam family "ROOL RNA". Rfam says of the family: Firmicutes, Fusobacteria (1 example), Tenericutes (1 example). Environment (Cow rumen (57)) The record is from RNAcentral.
UUUAAUUAUGAACACUAUAACCCUGUGAAGAGUUAUUGCCAAUGGCAGGGAUGUAGUUGUGCAUGAAAAAGAGCGCGUUAAUAAUUAUGAGAUAUUGUAAUUGUUGCGUUUGUUUAUUUAGUAAUUUAUAAACAAGAAUCCAAAAGGAAACGCUGUUAACUAUAGUGCUAAUCAUAUACGAUGUUAAAUCUAGAAACGUGUCGGGGCGACAAUAGACGACUCAGUGAGUAACAACCUAUGAUGGAAUGGAUUUGCUAUCCAAAAACCUAAUAGGAAUACCAAAAUAAGCUCUUUGGGGUGAUGUCUAGUAAUAGACUAUAAGACAUGUCUUCUGAUCGAGUAGCCAAACCCUAAAUGUUCAAGUCCUGGUGAAAGUUAUAGGUAUAAUUCCUAUUUAAGAUCAAAGGGUAAAAAGCAGAUUCGUCGCUAGUUUCUGUUCACUUUAUCUGCUUAGUGGAUGAAUAAACAAAUAUAUAUGAUCGGUAAGAAGAAAUUCUAUAGUGUUCAUAAUUAA